Molecule: ribosomal RNA, 489 nt
Filed under: uncultured bacterium
Lineage: Bacteria
Description: partial 16S ribosomal RNA
Rfam family: Bacterial small subunit ribosomal RNA
Source: RNAcentral
AUUGAACGCUGGCGGCAGGCCUAACACAUGCAAGUCGAACGGUAACAGGAAGAAGCUUGCUUCUUUGCUGACGAGUGGCGGACGGGUGAGUAAUGUCUGGGAAACUGCCUGAUGGAGGGGGAUAACUACUGGAAACGUAGCUAAUACCGCAUAACGUCGCAAGACCAAAGAGGGGGACCUUCGGGCCUCUUGCCAUCGGAUGUGCCCAGAUGGGAUUAGCUAGUAGGUGGGGUAACGGCUCACCUAGGCGACGAUCCCUAGCUGGUCUGAGAGGAUGACCAGCCACACUGGAACUGAGACACGGUCCAGACUCCUACGGGAGGCAGCAGUGGGGAAUAUUGCACAAUGGGCGCAAGCCUGAUGCAGCCAUGCCGCGUGUAUGAAGAAGGCCUUCGGGUUGUAAAGUACUUUCAGCGGGGAGGAAGGGAGUAAAGUUAAUACCUUUACUCAUUGACGUUACCCGCAGAAGAAGCACCGGCUAACUCCGUG